GGGUUGUGAGGUUAAGCGACUAAGCGUACACGGUGGAUGCCCUGGCAGUCAGAGGCGAUGAAGGGCGUGCUAAUCUGCGAUAAGCGCCGGUAAGGUGAUAUGAACCGUUAUAACCGGCGAUACCCGAAUGGGGAAACCCAGUGUGAUUCGUCACACUAUCAUUAACUGAAUCCAUAGGUUAAUGAGGCGAACCGGGGGAACUGAAACAUCUAAGUACCCCGAGGAAAAGAAAUCAACCGAGAUUCCCCCAGUAGCGGCGAGCGAACGGGGAGGAGCCCAGAGCCUGAAUCAGCAUGUGUGUUAGUGGAAGCGUCUGGAAAGGCGCGCGAUACAGGGUGACAGCCCCGUACACAAAAGCGCAUGUGCUGUGAGCUCGAUGAGUAGGGCGGGACACGUGAUAUCCUGUCUGAAUAUGGGGGGACCAUCCUCCAAGGCUAAAUACUCCUGACUGACCGAUAGUGAACCAGUACCGUGAGGGAAAGGCGAAAAGAACCCCGGCGAGGGGAGUGAAAAAGAACCUGAAACCGUGUACGUACAA
Molecule: ribosomal RNA, 538 nt
Filed under: Salmonella enterica
Lineage: Bacteria; Pseudomonadati; Pseudomonadota; Gammaproteobacteria; Enterobacterales; Enterobacteriaceae
Description: partial 23S ribosomal RNA
Rfam family: Bacterial large subunit ribosomal RNA
Source: RNAcentral